This 445-nucleotide long non-coding RNA is filed under the name Setaria viridis. RNAcentral describes it as "long non-coding RNA (SVIR_LNC008140)". The record is from RNAcentral. Lineage: Eukaryota; Viridiplantae; Streptophyta; Magnoliopsida; Poales; Poaceae.
AGUUCGUUACGUCUACGCGGUGCUCUUCCUCCUUGCCAAUAUCCUCUUUGAGGGACAGCGCCGUAGCGGCUGUCACGGCGACCAUGAUUGCCUUGCAGCAGCGUGUUCCUACAUGGAGCCACGGCUAGUGGGGGCGUACAGUGUGUUCCUAUGCUUUGCAGCAAUUACAAGGUAAAAAUUAAAAUAUUCAAACUGAAUUAUAUAUGAUUGAUGUGGCUAGCCGCUAGCAAUAAUCUAGGUCAACUCCUGUUUGUUUCCCUUUGUAUUUGAAAUUUCGCCUCAACAGUGAGCCAGAGAUAGACUGCUACAAGAAAGGAAAAGCCGUUGUAAAUUGGAAAACCAUGAUAGUAAGUGCACUCUUUAUGCUGCCAUGGUUCCUAUCUACAAUACAUACAGUGAUAUUUUAUCAAAUAAUUUCAUUGAUAUUUCAACAUUGGCAGAGUUU